AACCCCGUGCUGUGAACAUUAUUCUGAGACAUAGACAAAAGGUGGAGCUUUGCUGGAAGCAGGGUAUUACCGAAUGGUGUAACAUUGAAGCCGUUGUGCUUAAGUGGAGACACCGGUACAUAUGUGUGGAUCCUAAACCUCGCAAGAUGCACAAACUCGUUGAACGCUUGUGCAACAGGAGAAAGAAUGGCUAACUUCCCAGGAAGAAGAACAGUAUCUGAAUAUCUGCACAAAUAUUAAUUAAUAUAUCCUUGCUACAAUUAGCAUGCCUAUAUAGCACUUGUGAAUGUGUUUUGUACAUGUUUUAGCUAAACAAACUAAACAAAGUUUUAUUUAUAUUAUAAUAACAAUAUCUGAGGGCUGAGGCCAGAUCAAGAUGAUUAGUUGCUCUUUGUUUGGUGCUUUGUACAUGUAAAUGAUGAAGUGAAGUGUUGAAGUGAUGUUAUUUUGAUGGUUUCAAACAAACUGCAUAGCUAAAAACUGGGAAAAAAUGUCCAC
This is a long non-coding RNA of Astatotilapia calliptera (eastern happy), 498 nucleotides long. The record is from Ensembl. NCBI's taxonomy places the organism in Eukaryota, Metazoa, Chordata, Actinopteri, Cichliformes, Cichlidae.